GAAGACACCAGAAAACGCAGCAUCAUAGAAAUCGAAAUCGCCGAAUCUGGGAGAAAAUAAUCUAACAGAAUAUGCCCCUAUGAGAACUAAUUUGAAGGAAAGAAGAGGGAAUGAUAGCCGCCAUAGCUCACAAGGAGUUCGUAAAAGUUGAGGACCACAUUAUUGACGGACUGGACCAAAUAGUGUGGAUGAGAGAGUUUGUCAGGUUGGGAUUGCUGAAAGCACGAAAGAAAUGAUUGAGUAUCCACUCCGGCAUCCACUUACAUGGUGACCACACCUGGCCAUAAGUCCUGCGAAGGUCAUGAUAAAUCGUACCACAAGCACGAUAGUCGUGAUCCGGAGGCAUCCACCAGUUCCUUCACUCCCUUUAGAUCACCGUAGAAGAGAAGAGAACUGAACGUACCAGAAAAGUAGCUGCAUGUUACUUCAGUCGGCAUUCAAUCAUAGCACCUCACAGAUGAGGAUUCGAGCAUUGGGAAGUACAACAUCAUUGUACAACUGCAUACAAUCAAAUAUUUUUGUGAGAUCAUAUUAUGUGUGUUACACAUGCAAUUUUGCCAUUGUUCGGAACAUGCCGAACGUCAGAUCCGAGAAUCUGGGAACGCACGCAGGAAAUUCUGUUGCAAAGUCUCUAACGUCAUAGCACCAUUUGCAUUUGAAAUGGAAGGUGAACCAAGUUCCGAACUGGUUCAACGUGCUGUGUUACAAAUCGCACGCUUUUGACCGCGAAACUUGAAAUCUCAUAUAAGAAGUCGAAGCUUGAACUAAAUAAAAGUUAAGUUUACAUAAA
Drosophila persimilis is the source of this 790-nucleotide long non-coding RNA. RefSeq lists it as uncharacterized. The record is from RefSeq and is a predicted model, not a curated record. The transcript has 3 exons. NCBI's taxonomy places the organism in Eukaryota, Metazoa, Arthropoda, Insecta, Diptera, Drosophilidae.